UUCAUCUCUAGUGCUACCUGACCUUGCUGUCUCUGACUGGAGCCUAUCACUCCUGUGUUCCUGGCUGUGUCAGAAUUCCUCAGAGUCCAACUUUCACUGUGAUCCUUUGAUUCUGGAAUCCUGUGAUUUUGAAAUUCUGGGUGUGUCAGAGCUCCUGGGAGUCAAGCUUUCUCAGGGGGUUGCAGGAGUGACUGGGGGGCUAGAGCCCUGGGGUUUGUUCCAAGCUCAGGUGCAAGCUGAAAGGAACCUGUGCCUCUGGCUGAACAGGGUCACAUUAGGUCAGCUACCCAUCAGCUGGACACUAAGAAAGAAAGAAACUUGAAAUGUGCUGAUCGAUUUUGCGAUAGAAGGAAAGCAUGGCUCCUUUUCCAUCCAUUCACUCUCUUUAAUCACAAGCAAAGCAAAGCGGAACAAAACAACAAAGGAAAAGUUCAACAAUGCAAAAUGUUAAAAUAAAGACAACAAAUAGUUCUA
Non-coding RNA from Rattus norvegicus (Norway rat), 474 nucleotides. The record is from RefSeq and is a predicted model, not a curated record. NCBI's taxonomy places the organism in Eukaryota, Metazoa, Chordata, Mammalia, Rodentia, Muridae.